Non-coding RNA from Acanthaster planci (crown-of-thorns starfish), 74 nucleotides. The record is from the annotation of a RefSeq genome assembly. Lineage: Eukaryota; Metazoa; Echinodermata; Asteroidea; Valvatida; Acanthasteridae.
AGCUCGAUGGUCGAGUGGUUAAGACGUCCGCUUUAGAAAGCAGGAGGUCGUGGGUUCGAGUCCCACUCGAGUAC